GUUGUGUUCAAAUUCUGGGCUUUUAUUCUUGCCUGUAUGCAUGAUCAGUAAUAUUGUAUCCUGAAUUUGUCAUUGUACUUUAAGCGACAUUAAGCACAUCCACAUGCAAGAAGCGGUGUGGGACGCUGAAGCUUGUUGGUAAGUGCUACAAAUUAAGGAUUACAUACAGAUAAACUAUCUGAAAUCAUUAUUUAAUGAAAGAUUAUAGCAUUAUCCACUUUAGAUUACAGAACAAGCAAUGUUUGCGGUGUUCGUGCAUGGCUUUGACCAACAGAUGUCGCUAGCGUGCUGUCACUCUUGUGUUGUGCAUGUGUCAGUAAGUCUUUUUUUUGUUUUUUGUGGAUGUUAUGGCGGAAACGGGCUUCCAUACAAUAUAGCAGCCUGAUAACAGACAAUAAUGCAUCAGUGGGGAAGUGUUUACAUUGUUUGAAUGCAUUAAAGGGGACAUAACACACAGAGUUUUGCCCAAUCUCAUGUUAAUCUCGUGUACCCAAAAAUGCUGGGUUAAAUACAGCCCAGCGCAGGCUGAAAACAACCCAAUCACUGGGUUAGUCUAUAUUUUACCCAGCGCUUGGCUGUAUUUAACCCAGCAUUUUUUAGAGAGAGUAGUACUGCAUUAUUCACAUCUCCAAAGAGUCUUUAGUUCUUUGGGAAGCUGGAUAUGGUUAUCUUUCCCUCACAACUGAAAACACACUGUGCAGCGCUGCCGAUGACGUUGAUGGACUGCUCUUGCUCUCGCUCCGGUCGAUGUGUCCAGUCUUCCAGGAUAAAUGCCCAUACAAGGAUUUCCACCCUUUAUGACAUCAUACAGGGCCAUGCUUGAAAAAACUUUCUCUAACUUAUAUGAACCCAGAAGGAGUGAUUUUGACAGAAAUACUCCCUUAUACUGUACGUCUAAAUGUUUUUUGAAAAUUUUAGUAACAGUGUAAAAGAGUGAAUUAGUCCUGAAAUGCAUGAAUUAGUCCUCUCCUUUAAAAACAAAGGAAAUGAUUUCCAGCAGAGACUGAAUGUUGUUCUGCCUUUCAGCAUCAAUGAUCAGGAUAUUGACAUGUACAUCGCUUCAAGUUUCUUGGGAGUAUCAUUGCGUCAUAACUGAAACUAGAGGGUUAUUAAAAAAAAAAAAAAAAAAA
Cyprinus carpio carpio is the source of this 1130-nucleotide long non-coding RNA. Lineage: Eukaryota; Metazoa; Chordata; Actinopteri; Cypriniformes; Cyprinidae. The record is from Ensembl.